CGAUUGCGAAGGCAGCUUACUAAAGCGAUAGUGACGCUGAUGCGCGAAAGCGUGGGGAGCGAACAUGAUUACAUACCAUGGUAGUACACGCUGUAACAUAUGAUCACUCGAUGUUGGCAAUACAUCAGUCAGCGGUUGAGAGAAAGCAUUAAGCGCUGCACCUGGGGAGUACAGUCGCAAGAUUGAAUCUCAAAGGAAUAGACGCGGGCCCUCACAAGCGGUGGAACAUGUGGUGUAAUUCGGUGAUACGCGAGGAGCAUUUCGUGGGUUUAUAUGUAGAUGGCAUUUCCGGGAAACCGGAAUUUCGUUCGGGACCGUAUUCAAGGCGCUGCAUGGAUGUCUUCAGCUCGAACGCUGAGGUGUCGGGUGAAGUGCCAUAACGAGCGCAACCCCUAUCUUUAGUUACCAGCGAGUAAUGUGGGGGACUCUAGAGUAACGGCCGGGGUAAAGUGAGAGGAAGGUGGGUAAGACUUUAAAUCAGCACGGCCAUUAUGUCCAGGGUUACACACGUGUUACAAAGGUCAGUACAAAUGGCAGGUACCAGCCGACAGCAAAAUAAUCUAGAAAAAUGCCACCAGUUAUCAUUGGAGUCAACACUUCAAGGACAUGAUGCUGGAAUAGCUCGUAAUCGCGCAUCAGCUACGGCGCGCUGAAUCAUUUUACGCACCUUGUCACACCGCCCGUCAAGCCAAGGAACCUGGGGGUGCGUGAAGUCCGUAACCGAAAGGAUCGGCCUAAGCAAACCCGGUGACUGCGUUUAAGUCCUAACAAGGUAACCAAGGGCGAA
Molecule: ribosomal RNA, 787 nt
Filed under: uncultured organism
Description: bacterial SSU rRNA
Rfam family: Bacterial small subunit ribosomal RNA
Source: RNAcentral